GAUGAACGCUGGCGGCGUGCUUAACACAUGCAAGUCGAACGAUGAAUCCCAGCUUGCUGGGUGUUUUAGUGGCGAACGGGUGAGUAACACGUGAGUAACCUGCCCUCUACUCUGGGAUAAGCCUGGGAAACUGGGUCUAUUACCGGAUAGGAGCGUCCACCGCAUGGUGGGUGUUGGAAAGAUUUAUCGGUUUUGGAUGGACUCGCGGCCUAUCAGCUUGUUGGUGGGGUAUUGGCUCACCAAGGCGACGACGGGUAGCCGGCCUGAGAGGGAGACCGGCCACACUGGGACUGAGAGACGGCCCAGACUCCUACGGGAGGCAGCAGUGGGGAAUAUUGCACAAUGGGCGCAAGCCUGAUGCAGCGACGCCGCGUGAGGGAUGACGGCCUUCGGGUUGUAAACCUCUUUCGGUAGGGAAGAAGCGAAAGUGACGGUACCUGCAGAAGAAGCACCGGCUAACUACGUG
Molecule: ribosomal RNA, 466 nt
Filed under: uncultured bacterium
Lineage: Bacteria
Description: partial 16S ribosomal RNA
Rfam family: Bacterial small subunit ribosomal RNA
Source: RNAcentral